GCAUGAUGAGAAGCUGAGACCUCAGGAUAAGGCCAUGGAGUUUUCCCUUGGCCUGCAGAAAGCUCUGAAGACAAUCAAAGGGUACACAAACGGAUUGUCCAAAUAUUCUGAACAUAAAAUGAUCUAAUCUUCUGAUAAAGCUGCUUUUGAAAAAGUUGUACAACACCCAUGCCCAUGAGACGACCCCAGGCAGCACCUAGAGCCAGCGACGGAAUGAAGACCCCACUGGACACGCUCAGUCCAUAUGUCCACACCGACAGCAAGAAGAAGAGGAUGAUAAAGGCAGUCAAGGCAACGGGACUGUAAGAAUCUGCAAACAGAGCCGGUGCUGGGGGUGAGCAGGGGCGACAGACCUGAGGGGGCCCUGCGAAAGGAGAUUCUGUGGAAUGAUGGAUACCUUGCCACAGGCGAGCCCACCAAGGAUGGAAAGAAUGACUCCCACAGUUUUAGCAAUGAAAGCACGAAGUGAAAGAAGACCAGGAACACGGAUACCAUUGAGGGUUCAUGUAAUGUCAGAAGGAUUCGUAGAUGAGGGACUUUGCACAGACUUACGCUCUUCCAGAACUGGUGUUUGUGGUGAAGGUGCUCACGUGACCAAGUAGCCAUCCUUACUGCCUG
Molecule: long non-coding RNA, 618 nt
Organism: Pomacea canaliculata
Lineage: Eukaryota; Metazoa; Mollusca; Gastropoda; Architaenioglossa; Ampullariidae
Exons: 5
Source: RefSeq, a predicted model, not a curated record